UACAGAGGGUGCAAGCGUUAAUCGGAUUUACUGGGCGUAAAGCGUGCGUAGGUGGUCUGUUAAGUCAGGCGUGAAAUCCCCGGGCUCAACCUGGGAACUGCGUCUGAUACUGGCAGACUCGAGUGUGGUAGAGGGUAGUGGAAUUCCGCAUGUAGCGGUGAAAUGCGUAGAGAUGCGGAGGAACAUCAGUGGCGAAGGCGGCUACCUGGACCAACACUGACACUGAGGCACGAAAGCGUGGGUAGCAAUCAGG
RNAcentral lists this ribosomal RNA (253 nucleotides) under uncultured bacterium. RNAcentral's name for it is "partial 16S ribosomal RNA". It matches the Rfam family "Bacterial small subunit ribosomal RNA", at positions 524 to 776 of the family's 1533-position model. The record is from RNAcentral.